CUCAAAAUUACCUUAUAUGGAAUGCAAUUUGGAAAUUAAUGUCAGUCUCCUUUGUACUUAUUUUUUGAAAUGGCAAAUUUUCUAAAAUAAGAAAUGGAAAGUUCCAGGGACAAGUAUAGACUGUUAGAAUAAAGUUUUCCUUUACUUAAAAUUCUUCCCAAAACUAAACAAACAAAACCAACUGUGUGUGUGUGAUCCUCAUGGAAGAAAUUGGGUCCAUUGAUUUCAGGAAAUUUUCAAUCACUAUACAAUCAGAGAAGGAGGGGGUUGUUACUGUUAUCUUGUGGGGUUAUGGUUUCUGAACUACUCACUAUAUUGCAUUUCUAUCACACACAUUAAUAUGUACCCUGAGGUUCUUGCUGUAUUUGCAAAACAAACUGAUGAGCAAGCCAAUAGUCAAUAUAAUCUGAGUGACAAUAAUGUCAAAAAUGUGUCAUAACUUUCUAACCAUAUCAGAUCCUGGCAUAUUGGGAAUUGGCAAAGACCAAUUCUGAGCCCGCUGGGUCAGUCACUGGGAUCCAAGGUUGUCUGCCACCCUGGAGGCAACGUCAUGAGCAGGCAGCAUGAUUGCUGUGGCCAUUUCAACUGGCUUCCAUGCCUCCUUGCUUGGGCAGAGACUUUCACUGCUAGGCAACUUACAGGAACCAGACAAACUCUGGCUAGAUAUUUUGGGCAAACAGAAGCAACUGUACAGGUUAGUAUUAUAAUUAUUCCCUUUAUAUGGCUGGAUAAAACCUGGGACCAGAACUUUGUUCAAUAGAAAUAAGUUAUUCUUUCCAGGAUUUUCUAAAUUUGUGUCUCAGUCGAUUUCAUUAAAACGAGCAAAGUCACUCAACAGGACAGAUACGGAAGUGUAGUCUGACAUGAAUGGAAAACUACUCUCGGUGCUGUCUGAUGGAUGUUGAUAAGACCAAUGAGGCAAUCCAAGAAAAAAAAAGAUGAGGCUGACUUCUGCAAAUUUUGGAUACCAUGAUGACCUCAGAAAACCUAGAGGACCUUCCACAACCUUGUGGCAGCUUCAGACUAAGAGUUCUGGAGGCUGAGAAGUCCAAGAUCAAGAUGCUGGCAGAUUCAGUGUCUGAUGAGGGCUCACAUCCUUGUUCAUAGACAUCUUUUCCUGCAUCCUCACACGGCAGAAGAAACAAGGGAAGUCUCCGGGAUGUCUUUUAUAAGGGCAUUAAUUUCAUCCAUGCGGGCUCCACCCUCAUGACCUAAAUACUUCCCAAAGGCCCCAUCACAUUGGGGGUUAAGAUCUUUAAGAUAUGAAUUUGGGGGGGACAUAUUCAGUCCAUAACAUGUCCCAAGCAUAUUCCAAGAAGUUUCUUAACUUAGUUUUCUCUAAUGGUCAGAGAUCUUUAAGAUAAUAUCAAUAUGGCUGACACAUAAAAGUAGGUACCAACGUGGAUUAGAUCAAGCAAGGAAAUUUUUAUGUCAAUUGAAAAUAUAACAUUUUAGCUUUUCUUAGAUCACUAGAUAUAUUGUUAUGUAUUUAUGCCAAAAUGAAAUGUCCAAAGGAAAAAUAUCAAAUCCAUGUUAUAUUAGUUACACAGGAAGCCGGAUUAUUAUUCUUGUUGUAUUUGUAUAAUGAAACUUACCAAAAAGAUGAAACCAUGACUUUUGUAAGAACAAAUAAUAAAACAUCUAAAAGCA
RNAcentral lists this long non-coding RNA (1650 nucleotides) under Equus asinus (donkey). RNAcentral's name for it is "lncRNA (ENSEASG00005037096.1)". The record is from RNAcentral. Lineage: Eukaryota; Metazoa; Chordata; Mammalia; Perissodactyla; Equidae.